RNAcentral lists this ribosomal RNA (342 nucleotides) under Prosentoria arrogans. RNAcentral's name for it is "partial small subunit ribosomal RNA". Lineage: Eukaryota; Metazoa; Arthropoda; Insecta; Phasmatodea; Phasmatidae. The record is from RNAcentral.
UAGUUAUGUUCUUUAAACCUAAAGAAUUUGGCGGUGUUUUAGUCUUUUCAGAGGAAUCUGCCCCUUAAUCGAUAGUCCUCGUUUUAUCUUACUUAAAUUAAUUUGUAUGUAUACCGCCGUUAUAAGUUUAUGUUUUUAGAUUAUUAAUUUACUUUAUAUUUUAUUUAAUUUUAUUUCAGGUCAAGGUGCAGCUUAUAUUUAAGUGGAGGUGGAUUACAAUAUUAUUUAAUAAACGGAUUUAUUUUUGAAAUUUAUUUAUUGAAGGUGGAUUUGACAGUAAUUUUAUUUAUAAUAUUAUUUUGAUUUUAGCUCUAAAGUAAGUACACAUCGCCCGUCGCUCUA